GAGUUUGAUCGUGGCUCAGAUUGAACGCUGGCGGCAUGCCUAACACAGUGGCAAGUCGAACGGCAGCGCGGGGGCAACCCUGGCGGCGAGUGGCGGACGGGUGAGGAACACAUAGGAAUCUACCUUGACGUGGGGGGAUAACGUAGGGGAAACUUACGCUAAUACCGCAUACGACCUCAGGGUGAAAGCGGCGGACCGCAAGGCGUCGCGCGGUGAGAUGAGCCUAUGUCCGAUUAGCUAGUUGGCGGGGUAAGGGCCCACCAAGGCGACGAUCGGUAGCUGGUCUGAGAGGAUGAUCAGCCACACUGGGACUGAGACACGGCCCAGACUCCUACGGGAGGCAGCAGUGGGGAAUAUUGGACAAUGGGCGCAAGCCUGAUCCAGCAAUGCCGCGUGGGUGAAGAAGGCCU
This 410-nucleotide ribosomal RNA is filed under the name uncultured Gammaproteobacteria bacterium. RNAcentral's name for it is "bacterial SSU rRNA". It matches the Rfam family "Bacterial small subunit ribosomal RNA", at positions 9 to 417 of the family's 1533-position model. Lineage: Bacteria; Pseudomonadati; Pseudomonadota; Gammaproteobacteria. The record is from RNAcentral.